AAAUGAUGAAAUGGAAUGAUGAAAAAUGAAAUGAUGACAUAAAAUGGUGAAAUGAAAUGAAAUGAAAUAAUGAAGUGAAAUGAAAUGAAAUGAUGAAAUGAUGAAAUGAAAUGAAAAGAUGAAAUGAUGAAUUGAGGAAAUGUAUGAAAUGAUGAAAUGAAACGAAAUGAAGUGAAUGAUGAAAUGACGAAAAAAUGAAAUUAAAUGAUGAAUUGAUGAAAUGAAAUGAUGAGAUGAAAAGGUGAAAAGAAACGAAAUGAUUAAAUGAAAUGAGGAGACGAAAAGAUGAAAUGAAAUGAUGAGAUGAAAUGAAAUGAUGUGAUGAAAUGAUGAGAUGAAGUGAAAUGAUGAAAUGAAAUGAUGAGAUGAAAUGAAAUAAUGCAAUGAAAGAUGAUAUGAUGAGAUGAAGUGAAAUGAUGAAAUGAUGAAAUGUGAUGAAAUGGAAUGAUGAAAUGAUGAAAUGAAAUUGUGAAAUGAAAUGAGGAAAUGAAAUGGAAUGAUGAAAUGAAAUGAAAAGAUCAAAUGGUGAAGUGAAGAAAUGAUAUGAAAUGAUGAAAUGAAAUGA
RNAcentral lists this long non-coding RNA (565 nucleotides) under Homo sapiens (human). RNAcentral's name for it is "LNC_000147". The record is from RNAcentral. Lineage: Eukaryota; Metazoa; Chordata; Mammalia; Primates; Hominidae.